CCAGGGUCUAUCAACCAUCAAAUAAAUCAAGACCAACCUUCAUGAAAGCUAUAGUACAUUAAACCACAUGGGAUCAUACCACCAUCACACUCUCAUCAUCUCUACACAACUACCUAUAUACUCUACCUCUCUGUCAAUGUUCUUCCUCUGGUGCUCCAUUUUUCAUGUUUUUCUUUUUUAACCAAUUGUCACCUCCCUCUCUUUCCAGUUUCUUACUACGACAGUCGCCUCUAUGCUCUCUCCACGUUUACCUCCAUUGGUCGCGGUCGAUGAAUCGAUUCCGACAACUGAGAUUGUCCAGAUCUACAAAAUCAAUUCUCUCUUUUUCUCUAUCUAUCUCUUUCUCUUUGACGAGAUUAAUAAGUUAUAUUGUAGUGACAGGAUUAACAGAUCUGAGGGAGACGAUGGGGAGAGGCAACGGAAUUGAGAGAGGCAGUGGAUAGGGAUGGCAGAUCUGAGGAAAUGGAGAUGGGUGAGUGACGAAUCCGAAGAAGUGUAGUAAAGGCGGCUGCAUAUCUGAGGGCGGAGUGCGAUGGAUUUGAGUGAGGCGGUGGCGUGUGAGGGUGAACCAUGGUGGAUUCGAGAAAAGUGAUGGUAGGAGAGAUGGGGAGUGGUGGAGGAAGAGGACUGCCGAGGCAGAUGUAAAGAUGGGUUGCGGGUUGAGCGACUUGUUUGUGGUAUAGGCAGCAGUGAGGGGGAGGAGAGGGUGUGUUUCAAUUUUUAUUUUAUUUUAUUUUUUUAUUAAAUAUAAAUUUGUAAUAAAUUUUGUUACAUAAUGAUCAGUGUAAUGACAAAAAUACCCCUUUUCCGUUAAUUGCAUCUAUAGGGAUUUUUAAUCUCAAA
Molecule: long non-coding RNA, 843 nt
Organism: Camellia sinensis
Lineage: Eukaryota; Viridiplantae; Streptophyta; Magnoliopsida; Ericales; Theaceae
Source: RefSeq, a predicted model, not a curated record